CCUACGGGUGGCAGCAGUGGGGAAUAUUGGGCAAUGGGCGCAAGCCUGACCCAGCAACGCCGCGUGAAGGAAGAAGGCUUUCGGGUUGUAAACUUCUUUUCUGGGGGACGAACAAAUGACGGUACCCCAGGAAUAAGCCACGGCUAACUACGUGCCAGCGGCCGCGGUAAUACGUAGGUGGCCAGCGUUAUCCGGAUUUAUUGGGUGUAAAGGGCGUGUAGGCGGGAAUGCAAGUCAGGUGUGAAAACUCAGGGCUCAAGCCUGAGCCUGCAUUUGAGACUGUGUUUCUUGAGUGCUGGGGAGGCAAGCGGAAUGCCGGGUGUAGCGGUGAAAUGCGUAGAUAUACGGAGGAACACCAGUGGCGAAGGCGGAUUGCUGGACAGUAACUGACGCUGAGGCGCGAAAGCGUGGGGAGCAAACAGGAUUAGAUACCCUUGUAGUC
RNAcentral lists this ribosomal RNA (442 nucleotides) under uncultured bacterium. Its description in RNAcentral is "partial 16S ribosomal RNA". It matches the Rfam family "Bacterial small subunit ribosomal RNA", at positions 338 to 795 of the family's 1533-position model. The record is from RNAcentral.